This 428-nucleotide ribosomal RNA is filed under the name uncultured bacterium. RNAcentral describes it as "partial 16S ribosomal RNA". It matches the Rfam family "Bacterial small subunit ribosomal RNA", at positions 354 to 796 of the family's 1533-position model. The record is from RNAcentral.
GUGGGGAAUAUUGGGCAAUGGGCGAAAGCCUGACCCAGCAACGCCGCGUGAGGGAAGAAGGUUUUCGGAUUGUAAACCUCUGUCCUUGGUGACGAACACAAUGACGGUAGCCAAGGAGGAAGCCCCGGCUAACUACGUGCCAGCAGCCGCGGUAAUACGUAGGGGGCAAGCGUUGUCCGGAAUGACUGGGCGUAAAGGGCGUGUAGGCGGCCGAUUAAGUCUGGAGUGAAAGUCCUGCUUUCAAGGUGGGAAUUGCUUUGGAGACUGGUUGGCUUGAGUGCGGAAGAGGCAAGUGGAAUUCCCAGUGUAGCGGUGAAAUGCGUAGAGAUUGGGAGGAACACCAGUGGCGAAGGCGACUUGCUGGGCCGUAACUGACGCUGAGGCGCGAAAGCGUGGGGAGCGAACAGGAUUAGAAACCCUUGUAGUCC